UACGGAGGGUGCGAGCGUUGUCCGGAAUCACUGGGCGUAAAGGGCGCGUAGGCGGCCUGAUAAGUAGGGGGUGAAAUCCUGCGGCUUAACCGCAGGGCUGCCUUCUAAACUGUCAGGCUCGAGCACAGUAGAGGCAGGUGGAAUUCCCGGUGUAGCGGUGGAAUGCGUAGAGAUCGGGAAGAACAUCAGUGGCGAAGGCGGCCUGCUGGGCUGUUGCUGACGCUGAGGCGCGACAACGUGGGGAGCAAACAGG
Molecule: ribosomal RNA, 253 nt
Filed under: uncultured bacterium
Lineage: Bacteria
Description: partial 16S ribosomal RNA
Rfam family: Bacterial small subunit ribosomal RNA
Source: RNAcentral